CCCAGUGUUCUGACUACCUGUUCACGUGACAAGCAAAUGUACAGUAGUCUGCACAUUGGUUA
RNAcentral lists this microRNA precursor (62 nucleotides) under Petromyzon marinus (sea lamprey). RNAcentral describes it as "Pma-Mir-199-o2-v3_pre stem-loop". It matches the Rfam family "mir-199 microRNA precursor family", at positions 12 to 71 of the family's 80-position model. From Rfam's summary of the family: This family consists of the microRNA (miRNA) precursor mir-199 which appears to be specific to humans. Animal miRNAs are transcribed as ~70nt precursors and subsequently processed by the Dicer enzyme to give a ~22nt product. Lineage: Eukaryota; Metazoa; Chordata; Hyperoartia; Petromyzontiformes; Petromyzontidae. The record is from RNAcentral.